CAGCAGCCGCGGUAAUACGAAGGGGGCUAGCGUUGCUCGGAAUUACUGGGCGUAAAGGGAGCGUAGGCGGAUCGUUAAGUUGGGGGUGAAAGCCCGGGGCUCAACCUCGGAACUGCCUUCAAUACUGGCGAUCUUGAGUAUGAGAGAGGUGUGUGGAACUCCGAGUGUAGAGGUGAAAUUCGUAGAUAUUCGGAAGAACACCAGUGGCGAAGGCGACACACUGGCUCAUUACUGACGCUGAGGCUCGAAAGCGUGGGGAGCAGACAGGAUUAGAUACCCGGGUAGUCCCUGUCUCUUAUAA
Molecule: ribosomal RNA, 301 nt
Filed under: uncultured bacterium
Lineage: Bacteria
Description: partial 16S ribosomal RNA
Rfam family: Bacterial small subunit ribosomal RNA
Source: RNAcentral